CCUACGGGUGGCAGCAGUGGGGAAUAUUGCGCAAUGGGCGAAAGCCUGACGCAGCGACGCCGCGUGAGGGAUGAAGGUCUUCGGAUCGUAAACCUCUGUCAGCAGGGAAGAAGGGGCAGUGUGCUAAUCAGGAGUGAAUUGACGGUACCUGCAAAGGAAGCACCGGAUAACUCCGUGCCAGCAGCCGCGGUAAUACGGAGGGUGCGAGCGUUAAUCGGAAUUACUGGGCGUAAAGCGCUCGUAGGCGGUAUGUCAAGUCAAGGGUGAAAUCCCCGCGCUCAACGUGGGAACUGCAUUUGAAACUGGCAAGCUGGAGUGUGUGAGAGGAUAGUGGAAUUCCAGGUGUAGGGGUGAAAUGCGUAGAUAUCUGGAGGAACAUCAGUGGCGAAGGCGACUAUCUGGCACAUAACUGACGCUGAGGAGCGAAAGCGUGGGUAGCAAACAGGAUUAGAUACCCUAGUAGUC
This 465-nucleotide ribosomal RNA is filed under the name uncultured bacterium. RNAcentral describes it as "partial 16S ribosomal RNA". It matches the Rfam family "Bacterial small subunit ribosomal RNA", at positions 338 to 795 of the family's 1533-position model. The record is from RNAcentral.